UAACGAAUAUUCCGCAAUGGGCGAAAGCCUGACGGAGCGACGCCGCGUGAAGGACGAAUUCCUUCGGGAUGUAAACUUCUUUUGGGGUGAAGAAAACAAGGAGCGCUAAUACCGCUUUGCGUUGAUCGAUCCCCGAAUAAGCCUGGGCUAAUUCCGUGCCAGCAGCCGCGGUAAGACGGAACAGGCAAGCGUUGUUCGGAAUCACUGGGCUUAAAGCGCGUGUAGGCGGCUCGGUAAGUACUUUGUGAAAUCCCCCGUCUCAACCGGGGCACUGCUUGGUAUACUGCCGGGCUUGAGGUAGGUAGGGGUGCCUGGAACUCUAGGUGGAGCGGUGAAAUGCGUAGAUAUCUAGAGGAACGCCUGUGGCGAAAGCGGGGCACUGGGCCGAUUCUGACGCUGAGACGCGAAAGCGUGGGGAGCAAACA
This 425-nucleotide ribosomal RNA is filed under the name uncultured prokaryote. Its description in RNAcentral is "bacterial SSU rRNA". It matches the Rfam family "Bacterial small subunit ribosomal RNA", at positions 355 to 774 of the family's 1533-position model. The record is from RNAcentral.